This 238-nucleotide long non-coding RNA is filed under the name Helianthus annuus (common sunflower). RNAcentral's name for it is "sRNA HanXRQr2_Chr08g0354151". Lineage: Eukaryota; Viridiplantae; Streptophyta; Magnoliopsida; Asterales; Asteraceae. The record is from RNAcentral.
GGCAACUUGAGCUCUCUUAAUCAUAAAAACAAACAAACCCUAGUCUCUUGCUGCCUUAUAGUUCAUGAUUCAAGGUUCAAGCCAUGCCUCCACUUGUUGCCGUGCGAAUUAUCUGAAACAAAGCUGGAUCCGAUCACAACAAAUAUGAAGAAACCGAGCACGAUGGGUCCCACAGGAUAAGAAUCCUUUUUCUUUGUUGCCGUUUCAGGAACGGUGCCGCGCUUCUUGAUGUUCUUCU